Non-coding RNA from Erinaceus europaeus (western European hedgehog), 321 nucleotides. Lineage: Eukaryota; Metazoa; Chordata; Mammalia; Eulipotyphla; Erinaceidae. The record is from Rfam.
GGAUGUGAGGGCGAGCUGGCUAAGACAUCUGUCACCCCGCUGACCGCUUGACCACCAGAGCUGAUUCAUUCAGCUGAUAUGGCUGGCUAGGGGGGAUGUCCCCUGCCUCCCUCACCGCUCCAUGUGCCUCCCUCCCGAAGCUGCACCCUCACUCGAAGAGGACGGCCUUCCCCGAAUACAGAGGGACCCGGUCUUCAGUCCAGGGUAUAGGAGUAGCUGCACUCUCCUGCUAGAACUUCCAAACAAGCUCUCAAGAAGAUUACAGUCCCACACACCUUUAGAGGACUGGGGGGAGGGGCCGGGAGGUGGUGAACCUGGUUG